CUUGGGGUAAAACUUCUACAGAUAUUUUUGCCAACUCUGCUAAAGAUAAGAACUGAAUUAAUGUAUUAAAAAUAGCUCUCAUCUUAUUGGACCACUUUUAUGUGGGAAGGAUAAAUUUUUUCACAUGAAUAAGAGUUCUGAUCAGGGCAAGAUCUUCUUAAUAUAUAAGUAAAGUGUUUCAACAUCUGAUUUCAUCUUUUGUAAAAGUUGCACUUGCCAAAAAGUUUGACGGGGUUAAACAAAGGACAAGGGCCAUACUGAUAAUAAAAUAUAAUAAAAGAAAAGAAAAGAAAUUUUAAUAAUUUAAGUUAAGGAAAAAGUUAAUCGAACCUGGUGACUAUUGAUGCGGGCUCGGUGAGUCAAGGAGUCGAAAGAAAGAUUUCUGGGACUCUCAAGUUCUGGCAGUAGUGCUCUUUUAUUCAGAGAAUAACAUGGAGUAGCAUAGGGACAGGACCCGGGUAGUGGAGAGCUGCAGCAUGGGGACAAGACCCAUGGACAGUAAGAGCUGCAGGCAUGGGGACAGGACCCAUGGGCAGUAAGAGCUGCAAACAUGGGGACAGGACCCAUGGACAGUAAGAGCUGCAAACAUGGGGACAGGACCCAUGGGCAGUAAGAGCUGCAAACAUGGGGACAGGACCCAUGGGCAGUAAGAGCUGCAAACAUGGGGACAGGACCCAUGGGCAGUAAGAGCUGCAAACAUGGGGACAGGACCCAUGGGCAGUAAGAGCUGCAAACAUGGGGACAGGACCCAUGGGCAGUAAGAGCUGCAAACAUGGGUUGAGGGUAGGGCUAAAUUUAAGGCAUAGGUAUGUGAGUUAUCUCUUUACAAGACAAAGGAAAGAUUAUGUUAAAAAAAAGUCAUUAAAAUGGUAUCAGUGCAGGUGGGGUCUGGUUAUUGGGUGGUCCUAUAACUUUAGAUAAGAAUCAGAUCGGAUGAGUUCAGGAUAUCCUAUGCUUUCCAGGAGGAUGAGAGAGAUCAGUAUGUAGGGCAGGACUCCUUGGGCUUCUUUCCUUGGGGGAGGGGCAGCCUUGAUCUUCAUCAACUAUAAAUCCAGCUUCUCUCAAAAUACCAAUAAAUAGAUGUAGUUUAUAGGGGUUUUAAAAAAAUGUUGUAGUUAGACUAUUGGGGCAAAUGUAAGGAUGUAGGGGUGAUGAGGUAGUAGUUUCGCAGACUAUGCACACCUAGAGAGUUGAAAAGUGUCCCUGGCUGAAAACCCAGGGAAUUUUAUUGUAUUAUUUAGAGAAACGG
This 1249-nucleotide long non-coding RNA is filed under the name Equus caballus (horse). RNAcentral describes it as "lncRNA (ENSECAG00000049506.1)". Lineage: Eukaryota; Metazoa; Chordata; Mammalia; Perissodactyla; Equidae. The record is from RNAcentral.